CAGUAGCCGCGGAAAUACGGAGGGUGCAAGCGUUAAUCGGAAUUACUGGGCGUAAAGCGCACGCAGGCGGUCUGACAAGUCAGAUGUGAAAUCCCCGGGCUUAACCUGGGAACUGCAUUUGAAACUGUCAGGCUGGAGUCUUGUAGAGGGGGGUAGAAUUCCAGGUGUAGCGGUGAAAUGCGUAGAGAUCUGGAGGAAUACCGGUGGCGAAGGCGGCCCCCUGGACAAAGACUGACGCUCAGGUGCGAAAGCGUGGGGAGCAAACAGGAUUAGAUACCCCUGUAGUCCCUGUCUCUUAUAC
RNAcentral lists this ribosomal RNA (301 nucleotides) under uncultured bacterium. Its description in RNAcentral is "partial 16S ribosomal RNA". It matches the Rfam family "Bacterial small subunit ribosomal RNA", at positions 509 to 807 of the family's 1533-position model. The record is from RNAcentral.